AGGUGAUCUCUCCAAUUCUCUCUCAAAGUAUUGAAAGAUACGUUAAGCUCAUCCUAUUAUCCUUUUCAAAUUAAGGUGUUACUGAAUCAUAACAAUAUGAACUACACAUCUCUUUGUCAAAUUUCACCCGACAAUGACACAUGGAUCAUAAAAGUAAGAAUUAUAAGGAUGUGGGAUGCAGUAAACAUUGCACAAGGCAAUGAGUUGAUCAGUCUAGAUCUGAUCAUGUCGGAUGAAAAUGGAACGCUAAUACAUUCAAGUAUUAGGAAUAAAUUCGCACAACGUUUUAGGCCUCUUCUCAACGAAGGAUGCAUUUAUGAGAUAAAGAAUUUUAUAGUUGAAGAAUAUAGAGCACAAUAUCGUCCAGUGCAUCAUCAAUUUAAAAUUCUUUUUAUUUUAACGACCUC
This is a long non-coding RNA of Alnus glutinosa, 407 nucleotides long. RefSeq lists it as uncharacterized. The transcript has 3 exons. NCBI's taxonomy places the organism in Eukaryota, Viridiplantae, Streptophyta, Magnoliopsida, Fagales, Betulaceae. The record is from RefSeq and is a predicted model, not a curated record.